GAUGAAGAACGUAGCGAAAUGCGAUAAGUAAUGUGAAUUGCAGAAUUCAGUGAAUCAUCGAAUCUUUGAGCGCACCUUGCGCCCUUUGGACAUUCCGAAGGGCAUGCCUGUUUGAGUAUCAUGAACACCUCAACUCUCACGGCUUGUCCGUGAUGAGCUUGGACUUUGGGGGUCUUGCCGGCCUGUGGUCGGCUCCUCUCAAAUGGAUCAGCUUGCCAGUGUUUGGUGGCAUCACAGGUGUGAUAACUAUCUGCGCUUGUGGUUUUCCAUCAGAUAACCUUCAGUGAUAUGGAGGUUCGCUGGAGCUCACAAAUGUCUCUCCUUAGUGAGGACAGCUCUUUGAACGUUUGAUCUCAAAUCAGGUAGGACUACCCGCUGAACUUAAGCAUAUCAAUAAGCGGAGGA
This 405-nucleotide unclassified non-coding RNA is filed under the name soil metagenome. RNAcentral describes it as "partial contains 5.8S ribosomal RNA, internal transcribed spacer 2, and large subunit ribosomal RNA". The stretch from base 1 to 121 matches the Rfam family "5.8S ribosomal RNA", at positions 35 to 154 of the family's 154-position model. The record is from RNAcentral.